This 1131-nucleotide long non-coding RNA is filed under the name Canis lupus familiaris (dog). RNAcentral's name for it is "lncRNA (ENSCAFG00040021591.1)". Lineage: Eukaryota; Metazoa; Chordata; Mammalia; Carnivora; Canidae. The record is from RNAcentral.
GCAGCCAACGGGCUCUCCCCAGAGGUCGCUGGGCGCGAGCGCUCGGCCCCGACGCGCUCCCGGACACCCACGGCUCCCCCUUCGCGGGGUAGGGGAGGAGAGCGGGACCCGCGGCUUCCGAGGUCAGGCCAGGGAAACCACCUGGCACCUGGGCUAGAGGAGAAGGCGGUGCGCAGAGCCGGGGCCGCGGGGGCCGCGGGGGCCGCGGGGGCCGAGGGGUCCGGCCGCAGCAUCCUCGGCCCGGCUGCCCGCGGCGCACACCGCCCAGGGCGGGCGCCCGAGGCCCCUCUUAACUCGGUCAGGGACGCGCCCCAGCCCCGCAGCUCGCGCGUUCGUCGCUUACCGGCGGGCCGCAGACUCCCCGCGCCCCCUCCAACCCGGCCGCACCCCCGACCCCCGCGCCGGCCCCGGCCCCGGCCCCGGCCGGCCGCCGCCUCACCCGUGGGGUCCGCGCGGGCGCCGCGGUCGGGGCCGCGCGCCUUUCUCCUCCGGGCGCCGGACGUGGAACCUGCGCGCCCGGCCGCGCCCCAAGUUGUGCGCGGGUCGAAGCAGCUCUCGAAGCUCCUCGGGGGGAGGCGGCCCCGGCCCCCGAGCCCCGGCCCCCGGCGGGCGCGGGCCCCGCGGACAUCCCCGCACGGCCGCCGCACCUCCUCCCCGUCCACACCUGCCGCCGCGGGGCCGCCUCGGCCGCGGCUCCGCCCCGGCUCCGCCCCUCGGCCGCGCCCCGCCCGCCGCCGCCGCCGCCGCCGCCGCCGCCGCCGCGGGAAAGAGGGGGAGGAAGGAGGCUCCCGGCCGCGGGGCGCCCGCCGGGGCGCUGCGCCUCCUCCCUCGGGCUGGGGCGGGACUCCGGUCCCUCCGCCGCGGCGCGGCUGCCGGGCGCCGGAUCGUGGUGGGGGAGCGGCCGUCACCCCAGCCCCUCCGGCCACCGCAGCCUCCGGCGGGCGGGAGCGCCUCGCGGCGGUCGGCGCUGAGGCCGGGCGAGGCUCCCUCCCACCUGCGCGAGCCGGGGCUCCUCCGCGCGCUCUCGAGCCAAACUCAGCCCAGUGCACGGCGGAAGUGCUCCGGGACGGGGCCCCUGCAGGUGGAGGGUCUCCUAAAGUCCUGCCCGGUCGCGUGCGCCCCGCGGUUUGA